Molecule: ribosomal RNA, 484 nt
Filed under: uncultured bacterium
Lineage: Bacteria
Description: partial 16S ribosomal RNA
Rfam family: Bacterial small subunit ribosomal RNA
Source: RNAcentral
AUUGAACGCUGGCGGCAGGCCUAACACAUGCAAGUCGAGCGGAUGAAGGGAGCUUGCUCCUGGAUUCAGCGGCGGACGGGUGAGUAAUGCCUAGGAAUCUGCCUUGUAGUGGGGGAUAACGUCCGGAAACGGGCGCUAAUACCGCAUACGUCCUGAGGUAGAAAGUGGGGGAUCUUCGGACCUCACGCUAUCAGAUGAGCCUAGGUCGGAUUAGCUAGUUGGUGUGGUAAAGGCCUACCAAGGCGACGAUCCGUAACUGGUCUGAGAGGAUGAUCAGUCACACUGGAACUGAGACACGGUCCAGACUCCUACGGGAGGCAGCAGUGGGGAAUAUUGGACAAUGGGCGAAAGCCUGAUCCAGCCAUGCCGCGUGUGUGAAGAAGGUCUUCGGAUUGUAAAGCACUUUAAGUUGGGAGGAAGGGCAGUAAGUUAAUACCUUGCUGUUUUGACGUUACCAACAGAAUAAGCACCGGCUAACUUCGUG